UUAACAAGUGAAAUAAAUAAGCUCAUUAUUCGAUGAAAACAGGAAAGAACAGUAGAGAAGGGAAGCUUUCGAUGAAAUGAAACAGGAAAGCAGUAAUACCACCAUCAUAUCACACGUGGCAUCAUGCAUGUAAGCAUACGACACACGCGUCUUGAUGCAUGCAACCUUACAGGACAUGUCUCAGCACGUGCCUCUGUCCCCUUCUUUAUCCUAGACAUCAAUGUAUAGCCAGCUAUAAUGUCAGUUUCUCCUCUCUCUACAGUAACUUUUCUCACCACUUGAAUUCCCCUCAAACAUGAUUUCCUCACAUCAUCACUCUAGUCACUCUAAUUUCACAUCAUUAUCCUUUCCGAAACCUUAAAUCAAUUUGAAAACUCAGAUAUCCAUAUGCACCAAAAUAAACAACUUAAUUGAAUAAACAAGAAUGUACUGUACUGCAGUGCAAAAACCACAGAUACAACAUUACACAUAUUUAAAAGAUCUGAAUAAAAUUUUUGAAUCAUAUAUCUAACAUUUUUGACCUAGUUUUCACCUGUUGGCAAAUAGUGACGACACAAAGGACAUACAUGACUGGUUUUGAGCCAUGUGAGAAUACAUGGAAGAUGAAAGACAUGUUGGCAUGACAGCGUGUAGCACUCAGCAUUCACAUUCAUCUCUUCCAAGCAGAUACAACAAUCUUCACAUUCUCUAAUAACAGUACACUUCUUCAAAAAUCUAUUUAUUAAGAUUUCAUCAUCGCAACCAUGAUUCACUUCAGAACUCUGCCUCUGAUUCAGUCUAGAACUUUGCCUCCCACUCGCUCUCGAACUCAGUCUCUCACUCCUUCUUAAACUCACCCUCUGACUCCUUCUUGACCUCUGCGUGAACUCUUCACUAGCUGCACGCUCUACAGAGUUCAAUAUUAUAACAGUCAGAGUUAACGGGAUGACUCGGUGUUGAGAUUCCUGGGGUUCCAGAGAAAUAAAAGAAGAAAGACUAUCAAUUUCAAACAAGGCUUGAACAUUAGAAAGAACCCCUUCUGCUAUUUCAUCCACACAUUCUAUGGUGAAAGGUGAAAGUGACAACACAGUGUGUAAGAAGGUUGGACCUUCUUGGAAGAAAUUUUGGGCGGGUAUUGAUGCUGGAGAAAAAUGAUGCUGUAAUCCCGCUGGGAAUGUAUCUUCUGAGUGGAAUCUAACUUUGACUUCGAAGUUGAAAUAAUCACCCGGCAGAACCCUGGUGUGUUCAUCAUUCACCCUCAUCACAUUGUAGUAAUGAUGUACUGUCGACAUUUUUUUUUUUCUGAAAUGAUACGGAAAGUUUGAUUGACAUACAAAAAAAUAACCAAGUUGGCAGUAUCUUUUAUAGUUUCAUUUUACUGAAUGGUAAAUGGUAAAUGUGCAAUUUCUUUCCCUAUAUAUAUAUACUAAAAAAUAAAUUUAUUUUUGUUCCAAUAUGUAUUUUUAAAUUUAAUAAAUAAAUAAAUGUAAAAUUUUAAUUAAUUAAAUUAAUUUUCUGACAGAAGAAAAUACUAAUAAUUUAAUGAAUUCGUGAUUAAAUAUGUUUAUAAUGCUGUAGAGUAUAAUAAAGUAUACUUAUACUAAAAUCUUAUGUCAUGUAUCUAAAUAAUUAAAUUUAUUAUCAACUGUUUAGUUAUAACUCUUUAUCCACGUUGAGUUGAUAUUUAGUAUGAAUUAACUGUCUUAUGUGUUGUGCGUUUGUGAUGAUCAACUAUGGAUAUAAGUAGAUGAUAAAUUAGGUACUGAUAUGUUUUUGAUGGAAGAAGAUGAUGUGAGAACAUAAUUAUAUAAUUUUAUUUCGUUUAUGUAUAUAGGAUCUUUGCUUUUGAACCACUUUUUUUUUAUUGCUUUUAGUUAUGUUACAUAUAUAUUGUUAUUAUAAUUAUUUAUAUAUGGAUAAAUGUGUUAAUCUUUUAUAUGUUUCUUAUAUCUAUUUGUUAUUUGUUGUGUAUUAAUAAAAUGUUUAAUAUUUUAUUUAAUAAUUUUAUAUUAUUAAAUGAAAAGUUGUAUUUUAAAUUUUUUAUUUUUUACUUUUUUAAAUCAAAAUUAUUUAGAUUUAUUUUAAGAUUUUAGUCUAUUAAAAUUAAAAUAAAUUCAUAAUAUAUAUAUAUAUAUAUAUAUAUAUAUAUAUAUAUAUAUUUAUGAGAUUAAGUUAGAUUCAUAGUUUUGGGUGGCCUAGCACAUAGACUGUCUAAGAAUAGUUCCAGCUUAGGUAUUAAGAUAAGUUGUUGAUGAUAGUGAUUGAUAUCUUUUACUUUUCAAGAUGUCUCAUUAUAUCUCUUCAUAAAGGUUUUUAGAGUUUUAUCCUUCUCCUACUCUGUAUUCACCAAAUCUACAGGCAUUAAUUCUUGUAUUCGGCUGGAAGCAUACUGUCUUCAAAAAAGACAUUCUACAGUGACGAAACAGUCCACUGUAUUUGGAGGAACAAUGUUGUACCAUGUCAAUGCCUCCCCUUUAAGCGAUGGUGAAAAAGUUCUGCACAUGAUUGGAUCAUUGGACGAGUAGAAUACCAUCGCGUUAACGAACAUUCUGAGGUGAUCAUCUGGGUUUCUAGAGUCGUCAUACUUCUCUAACGUAGAAGGAGGCUUUUUUCUGGAAUGGGAGCUUCCAUAAUAGCUAUUGUGAAAGAAAGUAACCCCAUUGACUGAAUGGUUUGUAGGGGUUCAGAUGUAGGUAUGACCCUACUGUUUGUUACCCUUCUACCUUGAUCGUUUUGGUUGACGGGGCUUGGUUGUGGUUAGUUUCGACUGGAAUUUCUCUGAGCCGUUGGUUGACCACGACCAGUCACACCAGGUUCCCCUUGAGCUGUAGGAGCUACUGAGUGCUGAGCGGAUUGAUCAAGUUAGGCUUUGAUCAAUGAACUCUUAGUCACAAUUCAAUAUCAGAAUUCUAUAAAACUUACAUAACUUUGCCGUUUAGUCCUUUAUUUAUAGGCUAUCUGAUGAGUCUUGAAUUGUCAAAGAUCUAAUAAAACUAACUUACCUUUUUCUCAGUC
RNAcentral lists this long non-coding RNA (2994 nucleotides) under Vigna radiata. RNAcentral describes it as "long non-coding RNA (VRAD_LNC013667)". The record is from RNAcentral. Lineage: Eukaryota; Viridiplantae; Streptophyta; Magnoliopsida; Fabales; Fabaceae.